This 219-nucleotide long non-coding RNA is filed under the name Lathyrus oleraceus (garden pea). Its description in RNAcentral is "Pisum sativum (pea) long non-coding RNA (PSAT_LNC001145)". Lineage: Eukaryota; Viridiplantae; Streptophyta; Magnoliopsida; Fabales; Fabaceae. The record is from RNAcentral.
AAAAAAGCCCACUAAAUCAAAACCUAAAAAGGUGACUUAGGCAAAAAUAGGGCAUCCCGAUGAACUCAAAGCUUUGAAGAAGUAAUCUAGGCAAAAAUUAGGGAUAACAAAAAUAAAAAUCAAUCAAAAGAGGUCAAUGAAAACCUCAUCAAAGACAAGAUGAGGUGACCACCAUAUCAAAAAAUCAAAAGGGUCACAAAAAUUAUUGACAAAAAAAAA